Long non-coding RNA from Drosophila santomea, 796 nucleotides. RefSeq lists it as uncharacterized. The transcript is spliced from 3 exons. Lineage: Eukaryota; Metazoa; Arthropoda; Insecta; Diptera; Drosophilidae. The record is from RefSeq and is a predicted model, not a curated record.
ACGAAAAAAACUUUUUUGGCGCCGCACAUUAUUAAAAUUUCUUUAUGACAAGCGAGUCGGGCCAAAAGCAAAAGCAAGUUUGGCUGGCUGGAGUGUAGUGAAGUGGUGUGGGCCAAAGUGGAGGAGCUCCUCCAAAGAGCCGGUCCAAAGAGUCAUCAACAGCCACAGCAAACGACGACAAAAGGCAUAAAAACUGUUUUAGCAUAAAUUAACAUAAGAUUUAUGGCCGCUCCACUUGAAAAUGAGACGAAACCAGAGAGGCCGUAAAGUUGCUCUGCGCUUAACAAGUGAAUGAAAAAGUUUCGGGUUUUUAGGAUAUUUCUGGAGGAGAGAAAAGCCCUGCUUUUCCGCUUUGCUAUGGAAUUUAAUGCGGACUUUUUCCCACACAGCACGUGUUUUUGGCAACGGCAACACUACGCAGCCGGAAAUAGUAAAAAGGAAAAACUUCCAGAUCAACUGGCACUUCUUUUCAGCCAGUCUGCUCUUAUUUAACUUGACAACUUUGCAGCCGUCUGGGUCCCUUCUUCUUUUUUCUUACCCCGACCAACCAAAAAUGGGACUUUUUCUUUCUUGACCAUACACAAAACAAGCGCCAAUCAAGGAGACAUCAAAACCGUAACGAAAAACUCGUUUUUAAUUAAAGGCAUCUUUAAAUCGCCUUGUUUUUAAUUCGUUCCGAUUUCUUAUGGAUAUUUUACUUGCCAAUAAAUGCUCUGAUCAUCGUACCGAUGAUUAUCACAAAUGAUUUGUGUCCCAUUUAAUUGACGAUGGGGCGAGAUGUGAAAUUAUGAAAUGC